GGGGGGGGGGGGGGGGGGGUGGUGGAGGGGGGGCGAGGGGGCAGGCGAGGGGCUUGCUCCUCUGGCGUUAGCGGCGGGGGGGUGAGUAGCACGUGGGUAACCUACCUAUAAGACUGGGAUAACUUCGGGAGACCGGAGCUAAUGCCGGAUAAUAUAUUGAACCGCAUGGUUCCAUAGUGAAAGACGGUUUUGCUGUCACUUAUAGAUGGAUCCGCGCCGCAUUAGCUAGUUGGUAAGGUAACGGCUUACCAAGGCAACGAUGCGUAGCCGACCUGAGAGGGUGAUCGGCCACACUGGAACUGAGACACGGUCCAGACUCCUACGGGAGGCAGCAGUAGGGAAUCUUCCGCAAUGGGCGAAAGCCUGACGGAGCAACGCCGCGUGAGUGAUGAAGGUCUUCGGAUCGUAAAACUCUGUUAUUAGGGAAGAACAAAUGUGUAAGUAACUAUGCACGUCUUGACGGUACCUAAUCAGAAAGCCACGGCUAACUACGUG
RNAcentral lists this ribosomal RNA (495 nucleotides) under uncultured bacterium. RNAcentral describes it as "partial 16S ribosomal RNA". It matches the Rfam family "Bacterial small subunit ribosomal RNA", at positions 26 to 507 of the family's 1533-position model. The record is from RNAcentral.